Molecule: ribosomal RNA, 253 nt
Filed under: uncultured bacterium
Lineage: Bacteria
Description: partial 16S ribosomal RNA
Rfam family: Bacterial small subunit ribosomal RNA
Source: RNAcentral
GACGGAGGAUGCAAGCGUUAUCCGGAAUUAUUGGGCGUAAAGCGUACGUAGGCGGCUUAUCAAGUCUGGGGUCAAAGACCACAGCUUAACUGUGGAAAGGCCUUGGAAACUAGUGAGCUGGAGUGAGGUAGGGGUUGCGGGAAUUCCCGGUGUAGCGGUGAAAUGCGUAGAUAUCGGGAAGAACACCUGAGGCGAAAGCGCGCGACUUGGUCUUAACUGACGCUGAGGUCCGAAAGCUAGGGGAGCGAAUGGG